GGGGAUGAUCGGUUUCGACGGUGGGUAUUUUAUCGUUGAGAAGCGGGUCGAGGAUGCAGAGUCAUCUCGUUAACGAUUCUCUGUAAAACAUAAGUGCAAAAACUAAGAGCACUGACUACGUCCUCGCUGCCUAAUCGCGAGUAGUACGAGUCCGCCACGCUAUAUGUGCUUUCCGUAUAGUGGUGAGCGACGUUUUUGAAAGCCACUGCUUUUCAUGUGGGUUACGCACAUGGAAGGGACUUUUUCGUAACUGAGUUGGUUGGCAACUUGCCUGUGUGAGUGCCACAGCUGAGAAUAACGACUAACAGGCUGCACCCGGAGAAGGCUUCGGUAGUGCUCAUCGGACGGGGGUUCGAUUCCCCCCAUCUCCACUG
This 374-nucleotide transfer-messenger RNA is filed under the name Actinomycetaceae. RNAcentral describes it as "RUG11864 sp017934115 Standard tmRNA". It matches the Rfam family "transfer-messenger RNA". Rfam says of the family: Bacterial tmRNA, also known as 10Sa RNA or SsrA, is named for its dual tRNA and mRNA-like properties. Its role is to liberate the mRNA from a stalled ribosome. Lineage: Bacteria; Bacillati; Actinomycetota; Actinomycetes; Actinomycetales. RNAcentral also lists the same sequence under 1 other name. The record is from RNAcentral.